Molecule: ribosomal RNA, 254 nt
Filed under: uncultured bacterium
Lineage: Bacteria
Description: partial 16S ribosomal RNA
Rfam family: Bacterial small subunit ribosomal RNA
Source: RNAcentral
CACGUAGGGGGCAAGCGUUGUCCGGAUUUAUUGGGCGUAAAGAGCUCGUAGGUGGCUUAGUAAGUCGGGUGUGAAACCUCCAGGCUCAACCUGGAGACGCCACCCGAUACUGCUAUAGCUUGAGUCCGGUAGGGGAGCGUGGAAUUCCUGGUGUAGCGGUGAAAUGCGCAGAUAUCAGGAGGAACACCAGCGGCGAAGGCGGCGCUCUGGGCCGGUACUGACACUGAGGAGCGAAAGUGUGGGGAGCGAACAGG